UACGAAGGGGGCUAGCGUUGUUCGGAAUUACUGGGCGUAAAGCGCGCGCAGGCGGUUCUUCAAGUCAGUGGUGAAAGCCCGGAGCUCAACUCCGGAAACGCCAUUGAAACUGUAGAACUUGAGGACGAGAGAGGUGAGUGGAAUUCCCAGUGUAGAGGUGAAAUUCGUAGAUAUUGGGAAGAACACCGGUGGCGAAGGCGGCUCACUGGCUCGUUUCUGACGCUCAGGCGCGAUAGCGUGGGGAUCAAACAGG
Molecule: ribosomal RNA, 253 nt
Filed under: uncultured bacterium
Lineage: Bacteria
Description: partial 16S ribosomal RNA
Rfam family: Bacterial small subunit ribosomal RNA
Source: RNAcentral